This 91-nucleotide non-coding RNA is filed under the name Paenibacillus sp. RNAcentral's name for it is "c-di-GMP sequence". It matches the Rfam family "c-di-GMP-I riboswitch aptamer". Rfam says of the family: GEMM was predicted in a large-scale screen for bacterial structured RNA regulatory elements. Genes associated with GEMM are involved in a diverse array of functions, including chemotaxis regulation, signal transduction, secretion and chitin. Lineage: Bacteria; Bacillati; Bacillota; Bacilli; Caryophanales; Paenibacillaceae. The record is from RNAcentral. RNAcentral also lists the same sequence under 1 other name.
GAUGAACAAAGGCAACUCCGCCGAAAGGCGGAAGACGCAAAGCCACCGGUCUAACCCGCUUUUACAGCGGUAUGAUAGCGGGGACGCUCAU